This 497-nucleotide ribosomal RNA is filed under the name uncultured bacterium. RNAcentral's name for it is "partial 16S ribosomal RNA". It matches the Rfam family "Bacterial small subunit ribosomal RNA", at positions 28 to 507 of the family's 1533-position model. The record is from RNAcentral.
GAUGAACGCUGGCGGCGUGCCUAAUACAUGCAAGUCGAGCGAACAGACGAGGAGCUUGCUCCUCUGACGUUAGCGGCGGACGGGUGAGUAACACGUGGAUAACCUACCUAUAAGACUGGGAUAACUUCGGGAAACCGGAGCUAAUACCGGAUAAUAUAUUGAACCGCAUGGUUCAAUAGUGAAAGACGGUUUUGCUGUCACUUAUAGAUGGAUCCGCGCCGCAUUAGCUAGUUGGUAAGGUAACGGCUUACCAAGGCAACGAUGCGUAGCCGACCUGAGAGGGUGAUCGGCCACACUGGAACUGAGACACGGUCCAGACUCCUACGGGAGGCAGCCGUAGGGAAUCUUCCGCAAUGGGCGGAAGCCUUACGGAGCAACGCCGCGUGAGUGAUGAAGGUUUUCGGAUCGUAAAACUCUGUUAUUAGGGAAGAACAAAUGUGUAAGUAACUAUGCACGUCUUUACGGUACCUAAUCAGGAAGCCACGGCUAACCACGUG